This is a non-coding RNA of Oncorhynchus mykiss (rainbow trout), 451 nucleotides long. The record is from RefSeq and is a predicted model, not a curated record. Lineage: Eukaryota; Metazoa; Chordata; Actinopteri; Salmoniformes; Salmonidae.
GACCAAGGGAAAGCUGGGACAAAAGAGAGGUUCACACGGAGAGAUGUCAGCGAUUCGGGCCAAACAACCAAUGACCAAGGGAAGACUGGGACAAAAGAGAGGCUCACACGGUGACAAAGGAACAAAAAGGUAUUGGUCGACAAUAGAGGUGGAUGCAGUUGAAGAUUCCUUGAUGAACUUUAUCCGAAUGGGGAAAAAUGCCUGGAAAACAAGACUGUGAGAAAUGCAUUGCUGCUUCUCCCCAAGCGCUUUUAAACAGGGACUGGAGAGCAGUACAGUUCUAUAGACACAACAGAAUAGUUGCAGAUCAGAGAAAAUAAGUGUAUGAGAUGCUUCUGGCUAUCUCAUAGGCAGAUGACAAAUGUCGUCUAUCUCACUGUUCAGGGGAAGUUUUUCCUGGUGGAUGGUUCACGAGGUGAGAUCUUGCAUGGAGCCCCAGAUCGAGGGUGAU